AGACCGGCUUAUUGGUCGUGCUUUUGUACGUACUGGUAUAAUCGGUUUCUCCUUUCUGACGAACUUUAAUGCCAUUAAUUUGGUGUUUUAGGGAAUCAGGACUGUUACUUUGAAAAAAUUAGAGUGUUUAAAGCAGGCUCACGCUUGAAUACAUUAGCAUGGAAUAACGGAAUAGGACGCUUGAUUCUAUUUUGUUGGUUUCUAGGAUCGACGUAAUGAU
RNAcentral lists this ribosomal RNA (220 nucleotides) under uncultured fungus. RNAcentral describes it as "partial 18S ribosomal RNA". The stretch from base 46 to 220 matches the Rfam family "Eukaryotic small subunit ribosomal RNA", at positions 693 to 869 of the family's 1831-position model. The record is from RNAcentral. Lineage: Eukaryota; Fungi.